GACGAACGCUGGCGGCGUGCUUAACACAUGCAAGUCGAACGGUGAAGCGAGUGCUUGCACUCGUGGAUCAGCGGCGAACGGGUGAGUAACGCGUGAGUAACCUGCCCAUCACUCUGGGAUAAGCACUGGAAACGGUGUCUAAUACUGGAUACGACCAACCCUUGCAUGGGGUGUUGGUGGAAAGAUUUAUCGGUGAUGGAUGGACUCGCGGCCUAUCAGCUUGUUGGCGGGGUAAUGGCCCACCAAGGCGACGACGGGUAGCCGGCCUGAGAGGGUGACCGGCCACACUGGGACUGAGACACGGCCCAGACUCCUACGGGAGGCAGCAGUGGGGAAUAUUGCACAAUGGGCGAAAGCCUGAUGCAGCGACGCCGCGUGAGGGAUGACGGCCUUCGGGUUGUAAACCUCUUUCAGCAGGGAAGAAGCGAAAGUGACGGUACCUGCAGAAGAAGCACCGGCUAACUACGUG
This 469-nucleotide ribosomal RNA is filed under the name uncultured bacterium. Its description in RNAcentral is "partial 16S ribosomal RNA". It matches the Rfam family "Bacterial small subunit ribosomal RNA", at positions 28 to 507 of the family's 1533-position model. The record is from RNAcentral.